Molecule: long non-coding RNA, 425 nt
Organism: Raphanus sativus (radish)
Lineage: Eukaryota; Viridiplantae; Streptophyta; Magnoliopsida; Brassicales; Brassicaceae
Exons: 3
Source: RefSeq, a predicted model, not a curated record
GUAAUUGUUAUUUUUUUCUGGUUUGAGAGAAAGAGAGGUUGGAUUGUUCUUAUAAAGGAGCAGAGAGAUCCGAAGCCGAAGAGGCCCAAGACGAUGAAACCUGACUAGGCACUGUAAAUGCCACGUCACGUGCGUGGUGGUAAAUCCUUUUUACGGAGACGUGUCAGUAACUGCUAAUGGUGAAGCUGACUCGUAACCAAUAGUUAAACGACACGUUGCUUAAGCGAAUCUUAUUUACUCCUCGUUCUGGACCGUCGGGGUAUAUUGUACCAUCUUAUGAGAAGUAAAAUACAAAUGAGGUAUAUUAAUAAUAUUUAAUUUUAUCGAUGGAAAAAAUUAAAUUCAGUUUAAAUUUUAAUACAUCAUUGUUUGAUCCGCUUUAUGUCAGUAAAUAGGGGAAAACAAUAUAUGUAGACUGACUACUA